AUGACUCCGGAACAGCCGACUCCGUCCCUGCAGUUCGGCGGACCAUCCGGCUCCGCGGCCCCCUGCCCGGGGUACUGCGACCAGGCGCCGCCAACCUCGCUGCUCCGCACCACCGAGCCCAUCGGACGCGGCGCCCCGACCCAGACACCGCCGCGGUUCGCCAAAAUCGACUCCGCCACUUAUGACGGCACGAAGGACCCCCUCAACUGGCUCAACCAGUGCGACCUGUUCUUUCGCGGGCAGUGCACCCUCGCAUCGGAGCGUACCUGGCUCGCCUCUUACCACCUUCGCGGCGUGGCGCAGACCUGGUACUACGCCCUCGAGCAGGACGAGGGCGGCAUGCCCCCUUGGGAGCGCUUCCGCGAGUUCUGCCUCCUUCAUUUUGGGCCUCCGACUCGCGGGAGCCGCCUGGCAGAGCUAGGCCGCAUGCCCUUCACCUCCACAGUGCAGGACUUCGCCGACCGUUUCCAGGCCCUGGCGUGCCACGCGUCGGGCGUGACGGCACAACAGCGCGCCGACCUCUUCGUCGGUGGACUGCCGAAUCACAUCCGCGUGGACGUGGAGCUUCGGGGACCCCAGGAUCUCCAGACGGCCAUGUAUUACGCCCGCGCCUUCGAGUGUCGCGCCCAGGCCAUGCAGCAGGCAGCCCCGGCUCGAGGAGGCCGAUAG
RNAcentral lists this ribosomal RNA (669 nucleotides) under Triticum aestivum (bread wheat). RNAcentral's name for it is "partial small subunit ribosomal RNA". The record is from RNAcentral. Lineage: Eukaryota; Viridiplantae; Streptophyta; Magnoliopsida; Poales; Poaceae.